Hemiscyllium ocellatum (epaulette shark) is the source of this 74-nucleotide non-coding RNA. The record is from the annotation of a RefSeq genome assembly. NCBI's taxonomy places the organism in Eukaryota, Metazoa, Chordata, Chondrichthyes, Orectolobiformes, Hemiscylliidae.
GGUCAGUUAGCUUAGCUGGUUAGAGCUUGCUGUUAAUAACGCCAAGGUCGUGGGUUCAAGCCCCACACUGAACA